GGUGUAGUACGGAGUUACUUCACUUGUAAUGACGUGGUCACUGGUUCGAAUCCAGUCUUUAGCACUA
Molecule: transfer RNA, 67 nt
Filed under: Gammaproteobacteria bacterium
Lineage: Bacteria; Pseudomonadati; Pseudomonadota; Gammaproteobacteria
Description: tRNA-Ser
Source: RNAcentral